GCAGUCGCCGCGGUAAUACGUAGGUCCCGAGCGUUGUCCGGAUUUAUUGGGCGUAAAGCGAGCGCAGGCGGUUAGAUAAGUCUGAAGUUAAAGGCUGUGGCUUAACCAUAGUACGCUUUGGAAACUGUUUAACUUGAGUGCAAGAGGGGAGAGUGGAAUUCCAUGUGUAGCGGUGAAAUGCGUAGAUAUAUGGAGGAACACCGGUGGCGAAAGCGGCUCUCUGGCUUGUAACUGACGCUGAGGCUCGAAAGCGUGGGGAGCAAACAGGAUUAGAGACCCCCGUAGUCCCUGUCUCUUAUACA
Molecule: ribosomal RNA, 302 nt
Filed under: uncultured bacterium
Lineage: Bacteria
Description: partial 16S ribosomal RNA
Rfam family: Bacterial small subunit ribosomal RNA
Source: RNAcentral